RNAcentral lists this ribosomal RNA (250 nucleotides) under uncultured bacterium. RNAcentral describes it as "partial 16S ribosomal RNA". It matches the Rfam family "Bacterial small subunit ribosomal RNA", at positions 355 to 621 of the family's 1533-position model. The record is from RNAcentral.
UGAGGAAUAUUGCACAAUGGGGGCAACCCUGAUGCAGCAACGCCGCGUGGAGGAUGAAGGCCUUCGGGUCGUAAACUCCUUUUCCAGGGGAAGAGGAAGGACGGUACCCUGGGAAUAAGUCACGGCUAACUACGUGCCAGCAGCCGCGGUAAUACGUAGGUGGCAAGCGUUAUCCGGAAUUACUGGGCGUAAAGCGCGCGCAGGCGGCCGAGCAAGUCUGACGUGAAAGCUCCCGGCUUAACUGGGAGAG